Molecule: transfer RNA, 77 nt
Filed under: Aquamicrobium sp. LC103
Lineage: Bacteria; Pseudomonadati; Pseudomonadota; Alphaproteobacteria; Hyphomicrobiales; Phyllobacteriaceae
Also listed under: 4 other names
Description: tRNA-Pro
Rfam family: tRNA
About the family: Transfer RNA (tRNA) molecules are approximately 80 nucleotides in length. Their secondary structure includes four short double-helical elements and three loops (D, anti-codon, and T loops).
Source: RNAcentral
CGGAGCGUAGCGCAGCCUGGUAGCGCACCUGAUUUGGGAUCAGGGGGUCGCAGGUUCGAAUCCUGCCGCUCCGACCA